Molecule: non-coding RNA, 73 nt
Organism: Stegodyphus mimosarum
Lineage: Eukaryota; Metazoa; Arthropoda; Arachnida; Araneae; Eresidae
Source: Rfam
GUCUUCGUGGUUUAAUGAUCAGCACACUCGGCUCGUAUUCGAGAGGUCUGAGUUUCGAGUCCCGGCGAAGGCA